AGCAGCCGCGGUAAUUCCAGCUCCAAUAGCGUAUAUUAAAGUUGUUGCAGUUAAAAAGCUCGUAGUUGAAUUUCGGGAUCAAUAUAUCGGUCGUGCCUUUGGUACGUACUGGUAUCAUUGAUUUCUCCUUUCUGACGAAUCAUGAUGUCAUUAAUCUGGUGUUAUGAGGAGUUAGGACUGUUACUUUGAAAAAAUUAGAGUGUUUAAAGCAGGCAUUAGCUUGAAUACAUUAGCAUGGAAUAAUGAAAUAGGACGUUUGACCCUAUUUUGUUGGUUUUUAGGAUCGACGUAAUGAUUAAUAGGGAUAGUUGGGGGCAUUAGUAUUCAAUUGUCAGAGGUGAAAUUCUUGGAUUUAUUGAAGACUAACUACUGCGAAAGCAUUUUGCCAAGGAUGUUUUCAUUAAUCAAGAACGAAAGUUAGGGGAUCGAAGACGAUCAGAUACCGUCGUAGUCUUAACCAUAAACUAUGCCGACUAGGGAUCGGAUGAUGUUAAUUUUAUAAUGACUCAUUCGGCGCCUU
This 520-nucleotide ribosomal RNA is filed under the name uncultured Glomus. Its description in RNAcentral is "SSU rRNA". It matches the Rfam family "Eukaryotic small subunit ribosomal RNA", at positions 569 to 1089 of the family's 1831-position model. Lineage: Eukaryota; Fungi; Glomeromycota; Glomeromycetes; Glomerales; Glomeraceae. The record is from RNAcentral.